Molecule: long non-coding RNA, 4228 nt
Filed under: Salmo salar (Atlantic salmon)
Lineage: Eukaryota; Metazoa; Chordata; Actinopteri; Salmoniformes; Salmonidae
Description: lncRNA (ENSSSAG00000088777.1)
Source: RNAcentral
GUGCGACGAGUGGGCGAAACAAACCUGUUAGACUCCGUCAUCACUAGGAAAACACUGCGUGAUUAGCAGUUAGGGUUCAUGUCACUGUAGGCUAUUCAAAAAGGGGGCGAAAGGUGCGACGACAUCAGGAUCUUGUGGUUCUGUUGAUAAUAAAGGCUCUCUCUCUCUUUCUCUCUCGGCUGUUGCGCUCUUUCCCUCGCUCUGUAAAUGCUUUCGUCUGUUCAAAUUCCAUAGUCGCCUAGCCGGCUGCACUUUCAUACGCUAUAAACGUUGUCUGGAUCUGAAAAUGCAAUUUUGAUGGGAAGAACGUUCUAAUGUCCUUCUGGGGAAUACAAGGGCGACUCGACACUGUUUCAAGAUAGACAAAGGUGUCCUCACACGCGUAUCACAAUGGAUCUCUCAUUUAUGGCUGCGCAGUCGGUCAUGGCGGGGGCCUUCAUGGACUCGCCCAAUGAUGACGACAGCACGGACCACUCACUUUUCAACUCCUCGGCCAGCGUCCAUGCCGCCUCUAUGGCGGCCCAUGACCAGCCGGAGCGGGAGCCCAUGUCCCGCGACGCCAUCUGGCUUUGGAUUGCAAUCACCGCCACCAUAGGGAACAUUGUGGUCGUGGGAGUGGUGUACGCUUUCACUUUCUGAGUGGUGGAAGCCAUGAUGGAGACAUGCCAGCAGGAGGAAGCUUCUGGACAAGACAUUUGGACAUGAGCUAGGAACACCACAGCAGCCAACGGCCACUCUCAAAGUCUACACUGUUACAGAGCAGUGAAUGAUUCUUGCAUUGGCAUCUUGUCCAAGCAUUUGAAAGACAAGGCAUUGUUCACAAUUACAGAAAUUAAUAUGUGUAAUAUGUUGGUCAUGUUACUGCAGCCAAAGGUCAAAAUAUGGAAUAUUGUAUACAUUAGUGCUGUUGACUAUACAUUAAGAUGUUAACAUUUCUGAUGAAGCUUUAAAUAGUGAACAGUGAUGUACUCUGAAUACCCUCAGAUGUGAUUGGUAAAUUCUGAAAUCAUUGGACGUAAAAUAUUCAGAUAAUAAAACCUUAGUAAUGUGCCGUUUGGAGCGUUUAGAGAUCAUUGAAUGGAAAGUAACACCGGUAAGUUUUUAACAUGUCUUUAACAUCACAGUCGUUACUGUAUUCUACAUAUAUCUGCCCAAAAUAUGGAGUUUAUGACAAACAUACUAGACACAGAAUGUCCAAAGAUCUUUACUGUCUGCAUGACAAUAUAGUUCCACCUGACAGCAUCAGUUUUGGAUCAAGUUAAUCUAGUUCUCCGCUUUUCUCCUCUUUUUUGCCUAAGUGAGCCUUGAGUGCUGAAUAGACAAUAUUUUCCCAGCAUAUUUAUAUCUAAGAUGGUAGGGGUAACCUAAAUCUAUUUCUCUUAAACACUCCUAUCAGACCUCAAACCCAUAUGAGCGGGAACUACAAUUUAUAGGAAUGGAUGUUCACCUUGAACACUUUUCACAGAUGUUUACAUGUGGAAACAACAUUCCUCACACUUAGAAGUCACUUGGAUUCAAGUCUAGUGUACAUACAUCUUGAUGUGACUGCUGUAACCAUUUCAAUGUCGGUCUUGAUGUAUAUUUUGAUCGAGUAUUAUCUUUCUUCCUCUUUAUAGUCUCAAACACAUUGUAACCCAAACUGCCUUCCAAGCCAAAUAGUUUUAAUGAGCCCUGGAUGCGACAAUAGUCAGUUGCCAUAGCGAUGCAUCUCUGUCGCUAUGUGCCUCAAAGAUACCAUGUCUCUCGUUCCCAGUGCAGCACACCUGUUUAUCUCUCUCUAAACUCCCUAGCACAUCUACCUAACAGACACACACACACACACACACACACACACACACACACACACACACACACACACACACACACACACACACACACACAGGCUCUUUACAUGUGGACAUCGAUCACAUCAUACAUUAGCUGAUACUCUAUAACAUUAAGAGUCAACUUAGAUACCAUAAGUUGAAUGAUACUCUACACAUAUGAGCUUUAGAGCUCAAAUUGUUUUCUACUGCUGGUUGCCCUUAGAUACCAUAAGCAUUUCAUAUAGUAGAGCAGGACUCUCCAACCCUGUUCCUGGAGAGCUACCCUCCUGUAGGUGUUCUCUCCAACCCUGUUCCGGGAGAGCUACGCUUCUGAAGGUGUUCUCUCCAACCCUGUUCCUGGAGAGCUACCCUCCUCUAGGUGUUCUCUCCAACCCUGUUCCUGGAGAGCUACCCUCCUCUAGGUGUUCUCUCCAACCUUGUUCCUGGAGAGCUACCCUCCUCUAGGUGUUCUCUCCAACCUUGUUCCUGGAGAGCUAUCCUCCUCUAGGUUUUCAUUCCAACCCUAAUACAGCACACCUGAUUCAAAUAAUUAGCUGGUUGAUGAGCAGAAUCCGGUCAGUUACAACUGGGGUUGCAGCAAAACUACUGGAGGGUAGCUCUCCAGGAACAGGGUUGGAGAGAACACCUACAGGAGAGUUGCUCUCCAGGAACAGGGUUGGAGAGAACACCUACAGGAGAGUAGUUCUCCAGGAACAGGAUUGGAGAGAACACCUACAGGAGAGUAGCUCUCCAGGAACAGGGUUGGAGAGAACACCUACAGGAGAGUAGCUCUCCAGGAACAGGAUUGGAGAGAACACCUACAGGAGAGUAGCUCUCCAGGAACAGGAUUGGAGAGAACACCUACAGGAGAGUAGCUCUCCAGGAACAGGAUUGGAGAGAACACCUACAGGAGAGUAGCUCUCCAGGAACAGGAUUGGAGAGAACACCUACAGGAGAGUAGCUCUCCAGGAACAGGAUUGGAGAGAACACCUACAGGAGAGUAGCUCUCCAGGAACAGGAUUGGAAAGCCCUGCUCUUCACAUAUUGUGUUUACCCCGGAGAGCCAGAAUAGUUGUCUACUGCUUUUACUGUGUGCCCUUGGUGCACAUUGGUGUCAGCGGUGGGAUUCAGAGAAAGUUACCAGACAGAGGGCAUCCACACCUCCAAACCCCAAAGUCACUCUCUAAAUUGCAGCAGGCAGACACUAAGCUCCCCUUUAAGUGUAGUGUUGAGACUGGGAGGCUACAUCUCUGAUGUGUCUCUGCCUCAUCGUAGAGCAGACCCCAGGAGGUCAAACACAACAUUAAUACAGUCACAGUUUGUGAAUAGUCAAAGUCUGCUUUUCAAAUGGCACCCUAUUCCCCAAAUAACACACUGUGGGCCCUGGUCAAAAGUAGUGCACUAUGUAGGGAAUAGGGCACCAUUUGGGAUGCUGACAUUUGUUUGACUGUGACGGCAGGGACGGUCACCGCGUGAUGUAGUCCUGGGAUAGGGGAUACAAUGUCCUUUUGAUUAUAAUGGAUGAGACCUUCAUAUGGUUUGGUGUGAUAAGUUGGUCCGUUAUUAACCUUGAUUAAUCAAUCAUUAACGGAGAGAUGGAUGACUUGUUGAAGCGGUCUUAAUGAUAUGCUGAUUAAGAAAUCUCUCUUUUUCUGGAGAAGUAUGAUUUUUUUUAAUGAGAUUGAGCUCAAUUAAAAAAUAUAUAAUUUAAUUUGGGCGUAGAUGGAUUUGAUGUGAAAUCAGAUAUUAACCCCAUUCUAGAUUAUCCAUAUAAAAUUGUCCAAACAGCAAACUAUUUCAAGACAAUAACUCAGAAGACGUAUACAUGGAUGUUUGAGUACGCUCUGCAUACUCUGAGCAGUUGAUUAUGACUUUGUUCCAGUUCGUUAACUAAGUAUUCAAGGUCUUACUGAAAAUACCAUUUGUAAAGAUAGAUGGUGUGAUAAUCCACACUGUUCUUCACUUGCAGUGUAACUAUGGUCUUUUGUAUCAGUUAUUAUGUAUGUACUAUUAAAAUGUAGUUUGGUAAAUGUCAUCAAUAAAUGUCAUGUGGCUGGGUGUGAUCAUUCACAGAAACACAGAAUCAUCCUUGAGGAUACAUUUUAUUUGAUCUAAUGUUAUUUCAUUAAAGUUGUCUAAAAAUAAUUCAAGUAUAUGUCACAGGAGUCAUUAAGCAUGUUCUCAUGUUCUUCUGUCAUUCUCAAUAUCAUCCUCACAUGCAAUAAUUAUUAUGUUCAGAGAUAAUAAUCUGAAUGGCAUUAACCAGUGUGAGAUGAUUGAUGAGUGUUUCAAUAUCCAAGCAGUUUCUCAACCUCAAUCGAUCACAGAAAUGCUGCAUUAUGUUUCAUAUGAAGCUCUACUGGUUGGUAUUGAAACGCUGAUGUUUCAGAUUACUUUUAUCAUGCCAGUGGCCUACAGAAUGC